This 601-nucleotide ribosomal RNA is filed under the name Hepatozoon canis. Its description in RNAcentral is "bacterial SSU rRNA". It matches the Rfam family "Eukaryotic small subunit ribosomal RNA", at positions 221 to 810 of the family's 1831-position model. Lineage: Eukaryota; Apicomplexa; Hepatozoidae. The record is from RNAcentral.
GCCAAUGCAUGCUUUUACAGUAUGAAAAUUGGUGAUUUAUAAUAACUUAGCAAAUCGCAAAGUGAAAACAGGCGAUAAAUCAUUCAAGUUUCUGACCUAUCAGCUUUCGACGGUAUGGUAUUGGCUUACCGUGGCAGUGACGGUUAACGGGGGAUUAGGGUUCGAUUCCGGAGAGGGAGCCUGAGAAACGGCUACCACAUCUAAGGAAGGCAGCAGGCGCGCAAAUUACCCAAUUCUAACAGUUUGAGAGAGGUAGUAACAAGAAAUAACAAUACAAGGCAGUUAAAAUGCUUUGUAAUUGGAAUGAUAGAAAUUUAAACCCUUUUUAAAGUAUCAAUUGGAGGGCAAGUCUGGUGCCAGCAGCCGCGGUAAUUCCAGCUCCAAUAGCGUAUAUUAAAAUUGUUGCAGUUAAAAAGCUCGUAGUUGAAGUUCUGCUAAAAGUAACCGGUCUGCUUUUAAUAAAGGUGGUAUCUUGGUGUGUAUUUAGCAAUGAUGUCCUUUGAAGUGUUUUUUACUUUAUUGUAAUAAAGCAUAUUCAGGACUUUUACUUUGAGAAAAUUAGAGUGUUUCUAGCAGGCUAACGCUUUGAAUACUGCAGCAU